This 254-nucleotide ribosomal RNA is filed under the name uncultured bacterium. RNAcentral describes it as "partial 16S ribosomal RNA". It matches the Rfam family "Bacterial small subunit ribosomal RNA", at positions 524 to 776 of the family's 1533-position model. The record is from RNAcentral.
UACAGAGGGUGCAAGCGUUGUUCGGAAUUAUUGGGCGUAAAGGGAGUGUAGGCGGCUAGGUAAGUCUUCUGUGAAAUCUACGGGCUUAACUCGUUAAAGUGCAGAAGAUACUGCUUGGCUUGAGUGUCGGAGAGGAUAGUGGAAUUCCCGGUGUAGAGGUGAAAUUCGUAGAGAUCGGGAGGAACACCAGUGGCGAAGGCGACUAUCUGGCUGACAACUGACGCUGAGACUCGAAAGCAUGGGGAGCAAACAGG